RNAcentral lists this long non-coding RNA (440 nucleotides) under Homo sapiens (human). Its description in RNAcentral is "HSALNT0150874". The record is from RNAcentral. Lineage: Eukaryota; Metazoa; Chordata; Mammalia; Primates; Hominidae.
CUUGUAAGUGACUAAAAGUGUACCUGUAGACCACAGUUACUCACUGUUGAGACUUGACUCUCAAUAUUUCACUACUGAUACGUUGGCACCAUUGACAGUUUGGGCCAGAUAUUUCUUUGUUGCUGGGGGCUUUUUUGUGCACUGCUGGAUAUUUUACAGACUCCCCAGCCUCUACACACUAGAUGUGAGCAGCUAUUCUCCCUUCCCAGUUUUGACAAUCAAAAUGUCUGCAGGCAUUACCAAAUGUCCCCUGGGGGUUGCGUGGUAAAAAUACUUCUUACUGAGAACCUCUGCUCUAAAAAUAGUAGGGAUAUUUUUCAGUCCUUUUUCUAAAAAAGGAAAUAACCCCACCAAACCCUCUGGCUGCAAACAAUGAGCUUGGUCCUGUCUCUUUUAAUCUGCCAGCUGUCAACAUCUUUUUCAGACCUAGAAGUCUUUAG